This 662-nucleotide long non-coding RNA is filed under the name Nicotiana benthamiana. RNAcentral describes it as "long non-coding RNA (NBEN_LNC023738)". The record is from RNAcentral. Lineage: Eukaryota; Viridiplantae; Streptophyta; Magnoliopsida; Solanales; Solanaceae.
UUAGUUCGGUUCUGAAUAGGAACAAGAGAGGAACCGGCUGAAGCUUCCCACUCCGGUGGGUUAGCUUGGUCGCAACUGGUGGAGUGGAAAACUGGAACGCCAACUUGAGUGCAUGCAUAACAUUCAAUGGAGUUUGAGAUUGGGUUGCUGUCAUCUUCGUUGUCAUCGCUGUUGUCAGGUUGAACUGCUCUUCGUCGGAAUAUGCCGAACCACCUGAUAUCCCCAUUUUAAAAAUUCAAUUUAGCAGCACAACUCAUGAUAUAACAAAUAUAGCAACAAAAACUGAAAAAUAAAAUAAAAUCAGUGCACUGCAAUAAAAUUGUAACAUAAGAUUGACAAAAAGAAAAAAGUUCAUUUUCCUAACGGGUACUUAGCAUGGGAGGAGCUAGUGAACAUUAUUUAGUGCUUCAAUUGAAUGAAAAAGACGCCUACUUGAGUGCAUGCAUAACAUUCAAUGGAGUUUGAGAUUGGGUUGCUGUCAUCUUCAUUGUCUUCGCUGUUGUCAGGUUGAACUGAUCUUCGUCGGAAUAUGCCGAACCACCUGAUAUAUAUCCCAUUCCAAAAAUAAGUUAGUAGCACAACUCAUUUAAUGAGUACAAAAAUAAAAAAGAAAAAGAAAAUAAAAUCGUGCACUGCUACAAAGUGUUAUACAUGAGUUCAGU